RNA transcript from Sorghum bicolor (sorghum), 909 nucleotides. RefSeq lists it as uncharacterized. The transcript has 2 exons. The record is from RefSeq and is a predicted model, not a curated record. NCBI's taxonomy places the organism in Eukaryota, Viridiplantae, Streptophyta, Magnoliopsida, Poales, Poaceae.
CGCUAGCUCGGGCACUGUAGCAAAAAAUGUAGAGUACACCAGCAAAAAUGUCUUCUCUCCUGUCUCUCUCUCUCUCGGUCUCUUCUACUCCCCUCCCUCUCUCUUUCUCCGACGCCAAGUCGCCAACAGGGUUACAGGGGUGAUGGCUAUGGCGACGGCGCUGGGCGCGAGCGGUGCGCCAUGGCUGCCCUCGUCCUCCUCCUCGUCCUCCUCUCUCCCCUUCCCUCCCACAGCGGCGGCGACAGACGCGAGGCAACAACCUCUGGCACCAACAGGUAGUGGCGACGCCUGCCCCCUACCAUCCUGAUGCGGCGGCAGCCGGCGCGGCCAGCUCGUGUGUCCAGCCCAGGACGACGCACCGGUGACUCCGCUGCUCCCUCUCCCACCCCCCACGUCCUCUCCCUUUCUCUCUCCCCACGACCGCGGCUAUGUCUGCUCCCAGGAAAUCCUAGGUGCCAUGGUAGCCUCGAAUCUAGCCGCAGGGCGUCCGCAGAAGGGCGCUGCAGCUUCUAGGUGAGGGAGGCUUCCUAGCGAGCCAGCGGCGCAGAUCUAGGGGGGCCUCGACGCAGCGGUGGCACGGUCAGGGCCCGGUGCGGUAGCCCCUCCCUUCCUCUCUCCAAGCGGGGCAGCCACACCCGUUGCGCGGAGUCAGAGAAUGCCACAUGCUCCCUUUUAUCUGUCUGCGAUUUGAUCCACAAUGCUCAGGACAAUGGACCGAUAGGAGACUACUAUAUCAACAGGUGUUCCAUCUUGCAUAUGGUGGGAAAUGGCUGCAUAGCUCAGACUGGUUGUCAUCAAGCAAUGGGAGAUAGACUAAAAGCAAUUAUUCUCUACAUUAUGUUCUGUUAGAUUGUCCUUUCAUCUUUGGCAAACAAUAUUACUGAAGAAAAGACAUCGCCUGAAAAUUCA